Molecule: long non-coding RNA, 4362 nt
Filed under: Homo sapiens (human)
Lineage: Eukaryota; Metazoa; Chordata; Mammalia; Primates; Hominidae
Description: non-protein coding lnc-C10orf143-46:12
Source: RNAcentral
GGGCACCUUCCUGACCCACACGCUCACUGGGGCUCCAGACCCAGGCUCCCUAAAACAUGGGCCGAGACUCAUUGCAGGACCUCGGGUGCUUGGUAUCCGUGUCAUGUCUUCUCCUGCCGUCUACACCUGACUGUUCCUGAGUCUCGUUCACUGAGCGCCUGCCACGUGCCAGGCCCAGGGCUGGGUGUUGGGGGACGAGUACGUGGGGAGCGAACACGCGCAGAAAAUUACCCGGCAUUGAGCGUGUUAGUGCUUCUUGGGCUGAGUCCAUUAACUGAUGAGCAGAGGAAACGGGUAUGCAGGAGAUUAGAAGCCAGUGGGCAUGAGCGUGGCUGCCACCAGGUGAAUGCCUGUGCCCUGGCGUCCUGGGGCCCAGAGGACCGGGAGCUUCCAUCAAGAGGCUGCCUCCCAGCACCAAGGCCAGAGAGUGGCCAGGGGAGGCUAAGUACAGGGAUUUCUCAGAAUGGUGGAAGGAGCUCAGCCCAGCCUUGCCCAAGAUGUAUUGCAGGGGAAUCUAUGGAGUUUUGCUCUCGUUGCCCACGCUGGAGUGCAAUGGCAUGAUCUCAGCUCACUGCAACCUCCGCUUCCCAGGUUCAAGCGAUUCUCCUGCCUCAGCCACCCAAGUAGUUGGGAUUACAGGUGUGUGCCACCAUGCCUGGCGACUUUUGUAUUUUCAGUAGAGAUGGGGUUUCACCUUGUUGAUCAGGCUGGUCUCAAACUCCUGACCUCAAGUGAUCCACCCACCUCGGCCUCCCAAAGUGCUGGGAUUACAGGCGAGAGCCACCGUGCCCGGCCAUGACCUUCUUUAGUUCUUUGACCAUAUUUAAAAUGGCUGAGGUGAAGUCUCUGGGACAUUUUAGCCAUACCAAGAAUCAUUAGAAGAUGCAAGCUGGAAAAAAGAAGGUCCCAGUUUUGGUUUUGAACCCUUCAUGUUGCAGCAAAUGUGAAUCUCCUACAGAUGGGUUUGGGGACUUACCUGUUCAAAUAGCAGCCCGGUGUCCUCUGUGGGUGGGGGGAGGUUUGUCUGUCCUUUCAUUCUAGUAAAUCCACCAUCCUCUGCACGAGAGCCAGGAGAAUCCACAUCACUUCAAAAGAGCCCCCAAAUCCUUACUACGUACUACAGCCUCCUUUCGAAUGUUCCUGGUUGAGAGGGAGAUCAAUUGCAUUAUUUACAAGUCAAAAAAUUUUGUAUCAAACUUCCUAUGAGCUUGGGCACUCAUGGCCUAUGGAGGCCCACCCAGACGCAGCCCCGCCAUCAUGCUUUUUCGUUGUUUUGUGGAUGUACCCAGGGCUAUUUACACACUCUUUCAUUAAAAGGCUUAUUUUUAUAUUUAAAAUGUUCUAAUCUUGGAGUGAAUUUUACUAAAUGCUAGUGUCCAAUCUGUUCCCCAACUGAAGUUAUCAGAGACAGAAUCCCUUUUAUAUUCAAGUGGAAAUUACUCAUUUUCUCUUGGGUUUUCAAUGUAUCGUCUGACUGUGAGGCUGGCAUUAUUUUCUCUGGGUUUGAAAGCUUCCUGAGAUGUCCUGUUUGUAAGCUCCUGUCCGCAUCACGUUAUCUGCAGGGAAUGUGCUCCCUCCAGGGAGUGUCCUCGGCACUGAUGUGGGAAGAGCCCCCUCUAUAAGUCAUCAUGGCAUUCGGUCAUGGGAGAGUUCCAUACGGGAAAGAUGGAGCAGAGGAAGACAAGGUGUUGAAACCAGUACAGCACCACCUGGGAUAUGGAUGAUCCAGAAUUACAGGACACGUCUUCAUUAAGCCUGGGUAAGAUCCCAGAGCUAUGACUCGAUCAAAAAAUGCCAGUUCGUGCCAAACAACCAAAGCCGGGAAAGAGGGAGAAGGUAUUGGCGUUUGUAGCCUUACGAAAGAUCUUUAUGAAGAGCUUUAGUUUGUUCUUCUCUUUUCCAAAAUGAGAUACACGUCUAAUUUUUACGGGAAAAAAAGAAAACUCUUAGAUGGACAGCAUGUUCUUUUUUGUGUGUAAACUCUUCCUUCUCACCCUCGUUCAUGGAGAGAGCAGGUGUCCACCCGGUGUCAGGUGGGUGUUUUGUAGCUGACGUGGCACGCGUCCCUCCAGCUGUUCAUACGAAGCUGGCUUUUGUAGAGAACAGUCCCCGGGCAUCCUCCUGCCCCAAGGAAAAUGCCCCCGCUUCAGAGUCAGACAGACGUGAGUUCCCAUCUCAUCUCCACCGACCAUCUCCACCUGACCUUGAUGAGUCCUUAGACUUCUUGGAGCCUCUGGUUCCCAUCUGUGUGGUGGGGAGGUUGCCCUUGGGGUUUGCCCUUAGCCCACAGUGUGACUCCUCAGUGUCAGUGCCCUCCCUCCUGGUACACAGCCCCUCCACCCCAAAGCAGGCCUUCGGUUCUGGAAAAGCAAAGCUCACAAAACCUGAUGACCCAGGUGACAAGGACGAAAGGGAUGAGGUGUAACUGGCCAGAAUGUGGGUGUAUUAGGGUUCUCUAGAGGGACAGAAUAGGAUAAGUGUAUAUGUGAAGGGGAGUUUAUUAAGGAGUAUUGACUUGCAUGAUCACAAGGUGAGGUCCCACAAUAGGCCGUCUGCAAGCUGAGGAGCAAGGAAGGCAGCCUGAGUCCCAAAACCUCAAAAGUAGAGAAGUCGAUAGUGCAUCCUUCAGUCUGUGGCUGAAGGCCCAACAGCCCUUGCAAACCACUGGUGUAAGUCCAAGAGUCCAAAAGCUGAAGAACUUGGAGUUCGAUGUUCAAGGGCAGGAAGCAUCCAGCACGGGAGAAAGAGGAAGCCUGGAAGACUCAGCCAGUCUAGUCUUUCCACAUUCUCCUGCUUGCAUUAUUCUGGCCAAGCUGGCAGCUGAUUAGAUGGUACCCACCCAGAUUGAGGGUGAGUCCGCCUCUCCCAGUCCACUGACUCAACUGUGAAUCUCCUUUGGCAACACCCUCACAGACACACCCAGGAUCAAUACUUGGCAUCCUUCAAUCAAGUUGACACUUGAUAUUAACCACCACAGUGGAGAACCAGCAGCUUUAUCCAGGUGCUGGAUUUUCCAGACUGUGAAGGGAAUGGAGGAGCUUGUGACUGGGUACCUAAAAAGGGGGAUGGCAACAUUUUCUUGGUGUUUUCAGCCAUUUUAGUACAGGCCAUGAAAUAGAAGGCUCAGAAAUUCCAGAUUUUCCUAGGUGUGGUCCACACCUCAGUCCCAUCCUACUCUGGCCUCGUGUGAACAGAGGUCCUGCCCGUGGCCUUGUUGUCCCCUGGCAGCCGCCCUCCACCCACCCCCUGACUUGCUGUCACAGCUGCCCUGGCAUCCAUCCUGGCCUUCAGCCCCACCUCCCUGGCUCCAGAGUCAUCCCUGGCCACAGGACGGUCUCUGCUCUCCAGCCCAACCCGCCUCCUGCUGGGAUUACCUGGAGGAGCUCACCCCGUGCAGAACUGUUUCUCCCUGGCAAAUUAAUUUGUCAGCACCACAGGUACUAAAACAGAUUAGCUAAUAGGCAAAACCUGCAUAGAUUUCACUAAACUGGGUCUUGAUGCACCCAUGACGAGCGUGAAAUGGGAUUAUCCCUUUAAAGUGCUUCAUCUUUGUAUUCUUGUCAAAAGAGGAGGAAAAAGACAUUUUCUUACACCCUGAGGAAACAGACUGGGCAUUGAUGUGUCUGUAUGUCCAUUAGAUAAAUUUUCAAUUUGUUCUUUAAUUAUAAUCUGUUAUUGCUUUUGGGGGGAUAUAGGGGCUAAAAAUGUCAAAACGUACCUUUAAUAAUUUCACAAAGUAAGUUUGUAAUGGUUUCUAAACCAACAACUUACGAAACUCAUUUUAGAACAUUCAAAAGCAUGGUAAGUGGUUAACAAAGAUGUGUUAACAUCAUUUGACAUGUUUUUCCUCCUUCAAAAAUAUAGUUUAUUUCCAAAUUUGUUUUUAAAACAAAAAGUAUACUUGAAAUCCAUACUUAUUAAAGAAAAAAAUUUUUAAUUAUAAAUUUUAGAUAAACAUGAAACUAAGUCGUCCAUAAUCCCAUUACUCAAAAGUAACUCAUGUUCACAUUUUGAUGUGCGUCCUUUCAAAAUUUUUUCUAUGUGAAUAUAUGCUCCCAAGCAUGUACUUUUAAAAUUUAUAGUUUAUUUUAUUUUGAGACAAGGUCCCACUCCUGUUACCCAGGCUGGAGUGCAGUGGUGCAAGCACGGCUCACUGCAGCCUUGACUUCCUCGGGCCCAGAUGAGUACCUCCUCAGCAUCCUGAGCAGCUGGGACCACAGGCAUGUGUCACCACGCCUGGCUAAUUUUUGUAUUUUUUGUAGAGGUGGGGCUUCACCAUGUUGCCUAGGCUGGUCUUGAACUUCUGGGCUCAAGCCAUCUGCUCACCUUGGCCUCUCCUAGUGCUGGGAUUACAGGUGUGAG